GAUGAACGCUGGCGGCGUGCCUAAUACAUGCAAGUCGAGCGAACAGAUAAGGAGCUUGCUCCUUUGACGUUAGCGGCGGACGGGUGAGUAACACGUGGGUAACCUACCUAUAAGACUGGAAUAACUCCGGGAAACCGGGGCUAAUGCCGGAUAACAUUUACAACCGCAUGGUUCUAAAGUGAAAGAUGGUUUUGCUAUCACUUAUAGAUGGACCCGCGCCGUAUUAGCUAGUUGGUAAGGUAACGGCUUACCAAGGCAACGAUACGUAGCCGACCUGAGAGGGUGAUCGGCCACACUGGAACUGAGACACGGUCCAGACUCCUACGGGAGGCAGCAGUAGGGAAUCUUCCGCAAUGGGCGAAAGCCUGACGGAGCAACGCCGCGUGAGUGAUGAAGGUCUUCGGAUCGUAAAACUCUGUUAUUAGGGAAGAACAAAUGUGUAAGUAACUGUGCACGUCUUGACGGUACCUAAUCAGAAAGCCACGGCUAACUACGUG
This 497-nucleotide ribosomal RNA is filed under the name uncultured bacterium. RNAcentral describes it as "partial 16S ribosomal RNA". It matches the Rfam family "Bacterial small subunit ribosomal RNA", at positions 28 to 507 of the family's 1533-position model. The record is from RNAcentral.